AUGGCUGAUCCUCUGCGGAGGACUUUACUAGCGAAACUCCGGGGGAAGAAAUCCAAGAAAGGAGCAACGGUCGGCGGUGGAUACGGCUCUGCUGCUGCUGCUGCUGCUGCGGCGGCGAAUGGGGGCCGAGAAGGUAAAGAAAAAGUUUUGCAAACGCAGCGAGACUCCGACGAGGCUCGCCCGGUGGUGUUGCUCGCGACAGAGAGAAUGAGUACGUACGAGAAUUGUGUUGACGGGGCGAUGGUGCGAGCCGGGGGGGUUGUGGUAGUCCGGGAGAGCCGCGCGGCGGAGUCGGCCGGCGCGCGUCCCCAGGAGCGCAGCAGCGGGGGCAGGGCUCGGGUUAAUGAGGAGCUCCUGGGGGUCUCACUUCAAAGAGCCGGCCAGUUUGGGGGACACGCGGUCGGGAGGGAGGGAGACGGGAGCCACCGGGGGCCCAGAUCUGGUGGCAAAAUCGCGUUAUCGCCGGGGGUCACGCUCGCAGGACCGCAUGUCCAGAGGAAGCACUUCGUCUCGGUCCCGCGGCAGUGCAGCGUCGGGGAUUCAAUCGGGUUUGGGGACAAUUCAAAUCACGUUCUGUACCGAGCACAGGUUGAGCCACAGGGUAAACCGGCAGAGGGCCCGGUUAGUACCGCUGAUGACAGAGGACAGCCCCGGCGCAUGGCAGAGGCUGCUCCUGAACACAACGCCAACUGGAGUCUGAACAACAACCAAAGUUUGGAGGCAGACCCGCCGGUGUGCGCGGCACACGUGCACCUGACCUGUGCGUCAGGUAGCACGGAGGAAAACAUUCUGAUCCGCAACGUUGAGAGCUACGAGCCCGAGUACGCAGGGGACACCAGAGGCACUGCGGGCGCCCUGCAGAGCCCGACGUUUUUCCCCACGGAGCUAGAAAUACGCGACAUUAACAUGGCAUCUCUGUGCGCCACGGGGGGCCCACUCAGAUACACCUUAGACAGCGAGGAUGAGGAUUAUUAUGAUAACGAAAUUCUGCCUUUUUAUGAAACUGUUAGAACAAAGAGUGAUGAUGAUAGGGCAGAGGUGGCAGAGCUGCCCCAGCCCGGUCAGGAUAAAGGACAGCUUAGUGACAGCAACAGUGCCCAGGAAACAGACAGGCUUAGGAGCCAGCUGAAAGAAGCUUAUUACCUCCUUAUCAAUGCUAUGAAUGAUAUCAACCUGGACGUGCAACAGAUCAGUGGUGGUUUUACUGAGCAGCAGGCCUCCUCCUCCUGUAGCAGCCACUCCAGGGACAGCCUGUGCUCCAGGUUAUCCGCCAAGAACAUGGACAGCGACUCGUGGUCGUCAGGAGGCGACCACAGCCCGCAGCAGGUGUCCGACACCGACUCGCUCCUGCUCUGCCUCAGUGGGAACCCCGAGUCAGGCGUCAAAGACAGCAGGGUGAUUAGUAAGAGUAUGCUGAACCUGUCUUUGACCGGGAUGAGGCCAGCUUUACUGCGCUCCGCGAGUGACGGAGCCAUCAGGUACCCAGGUGGACCCUCACUCUGUGCUCAGGCCUCUGGGGCUCAGGGUCCAGAUGUCAGUGGUGAGUUAGGGGCCACGGGGACAAAAGAGGGUAGAGAGCUGACAGGACCUCGGGUGCCUUACGAGGCCGUCAGCAGUGAUGAGAUGCUUCAAGAUGCCGGGGGCGAUGAAGGCCGUGGCGGGCAGCUCAACGAGAGCAGCGGCUCGAUCAACAGCCUCACGGGUUCGACAGACAGCAACGGCGACGCAUCAGCACAUCAGGGUCACGACCGCGAGCAGGAGCUGGCCGAGGCGCGAGCACUGCGAGCCAACUCUGUCAACAAGGGCCACGGUGUCACUGUCAACAAGAUGCAGGAGUGGAUGCACAAGGGGCGGCUGUUGUCCUCCGAGAUGAAGCAGCGCAUCGAGGGCUCAUCGCUGCCUCGUGGAGGAGGCCAAAGCCAGGACCGCUCCUGCCCUCAGGCCAACCCCGGUGGGUGCAAACCAGGCGCCCAGACGUCCGGCCGAGGGGUUAAAUCUGUCAAGGCCAAGUCACCUGCAGUCAAGUCACCAGGUAGGAAGGCUACACGGAGUGGCCCCAGCUCCCGUGGAUCCUCUAAAUCAGAGACCUCUCACCCUCCUUCCUCCUCCCGUCUGAUUAUAUUGUCAUCCUCCUCCACUCAUAGUAAACUCCGUCUGGUGGCGGUCCAUCCUGCACUCCUCCUCUUCUGGAUGCAAAGCAAAGGGACGAGCCUCCUCAGACCUCUUUGCUUUCCUUUUUUCAAGAUUCUCUAA
This 2253-nucleotide long non-coding RNA is filed under the name Sparus aurata (gilthead seabream). Its description in RNAcentral is "lncRNA (ENSSAUG00010022772.1)". Lineage: Eukaryota; Metazoa; Chordata; Actinopteri; Spariformes; Sparidae. The record is from RNAcentral.